UGGAUUCGCUAGUAAUCGCGCAUCAGCCACGGCGCGGUGAAUACGUUCCCGGGCCUUGUACACACCGCCCGUCAAGCCAUGGAAGCCGGGAGUGCCUGAAGUACGCGACCGCAAGGAGCGUCCUAAGGUAAAACCGGUGACUGGGGCUAAGUCGUAACAAGGUAUC
This 166-nucleotide ribosomal RNA is filed under the name uncultured bacterium. Its description in RNAcentral is "partial 16S ribosomal RNA". It matches the Rfam family "Bacterial small subunit ribosomal RNA", at positions 1327 to 1500 of the family's 1533-position model. The record is from RNAcentral.